RNAcentral lists this ribosomal RNA (444 nucleotides) under uncultured bacterium. RNAcentral's name for it is "partial 16S ribosomal RNA". It matches the Rfam family "Bacterial small subunit ribosomal RNA", at positions 29 to 507 of the family's 1533-position model. The record is from RNAcentral.
AACGAACACUGGCGGCGUGCCUUAAGCAUGCAAGUCGAGCGGUGCCAGACAUUAUCUGGUAUAGCGGCGCACGGGUGAGUAAUGCGUGGUGAACUGUCCUAAAGUUAGGGAUAGCCUGAAGAAAUUGGGGGUAAUACCUAAUGUGCCCUACGGGGUAAAGCUUAAUGCGUUUUAGGGGGUAACUGCGUCCCAUCAGGUAGUUGGGGGGGUAAUGGCCCACCAAGCCAAUGACGGGUAGCCGGCCUGAGAGGGUGAUCGGCCACACUGGAACUGAGACACGGUCCAGACUCCUACGGGAGGCAGCAGCUAGGAAUUUUCCGCAAUGGGGGGAACCCUGACGGAGCGACGCCGCGUAAGGGAAGAAGGCUUCACGGAGUUGUAAACCUUUUUUAACAGGGACGAGUAAGGACGGUACCUGUGGAAUAAGCCCCGGCAAACUACGUG